RNAcentral lists this ribosomal RNA (310 nucleotides) under Phycisphaerales bacterium. RNAcentral's name for it is "partial 23S ribosomal RNA". It matches the Rfam family "Bacterial large subunit ribosomal RNA", at positions 1 to 327 of the family's 2925-position model. Lineage: Bacteria; Pseudomonadati; Planctomycetota; Phycisphaerae; Phycisphaerales. The record is from RNAcentral.
GAUCAAGCGACCAAGGGCAUACGGUGGAUGUCUCGGCGUCGAGAGGCGAUGAAAGACGUGGGAACCUGCGAUAAGCCAUGAGGAGCCGGUAACCAGGCUGUGAUCCAUGGAUUUCUGAAUGGGGCAACCCGGCCGCUUCGGCGGUCAUCACGUGCUGAAUGCAUAGGUACGUGAAGCGAACCCGGAGAACUGAAACAUCUCAGUACCCGGAGGAAUAGAAAUCAACCCAUAUCCCCUCAGUAGCGGCGAGCGAACCGGGAACAGCCGACCAGCUUUUUAGUAGUGGAAUGGUCUGGCAAGUCCAGUGACC